RNAcentral lists this small nuclear RNA (23 nucleotides) under Arabidopsis thaliana (thale cress). RNAcentral describes it as "snRNA_12082". The record is from RNAcentral. Lineage: Eukaryota; Viridiplantae; Streptophyta; Magnoliopsida; Brassicales; Brassicaceae.
UCAGCACAUCUUACUGUUCAUCC